RNAcentral lists this ribosomal RNA (491 nucleotides) under uncultured bacterium. RNAcentral describes it as "partial 16S ribosomal RNA". It matches the Rfam family "Bacterial small subunit ribosomal RNA", at positions 29 to 506 of the family's 1533-position model. The record is from RNAcentral.
AGUGAACGCUGGCGGUAGGCCUAACACAUGCAAGUCGAACGGCAGCACAGUAAGAGCUUGCUCUUACGGGUGGCGAGUGGCGGACGGGUGAGGAAUACAUCGGAAUCUACUUUUUCGUGGGGGAUAACGUAGGGAAACUUACGCUAAUACCGCAUACGACCUACGGGUGAAAGCAGGGGAUCUUCGGACCUUGCGCGAUUGAAUGAGCCGAUGUCGGAUUAGCUAGUUGGCGGGGUAAAGGCCCACCAAGGCGACGAUCCGUAGCUGGUCUGAGAGGAUGAUCAGCCACACUGGAACUGAGACACGGUCCAGACUCGUACGGGAGGCAGCAGUGGGGAAUAUUGGACAAUGGGCGCAAGCCUGAUCCAGCCAUACCGAGUGGGUGAAGAAGGCCUUCGGGUUGUAAAGCCAUUUUGUUGGGAAAGAAAAGCAGCAGGUUAAUACCCCGCUGUUCUGACGGUACCCAAAGAAUAAGCACCGGCUAACUUCGU